AGAGUUUGAUCAUGGCUCAGAAUCAACGCUGGCGGCGUGCCUAACACAUGCAAGUCGAACGCGAAAGUCCCGCAAGGGAUAAGUAGAGUGGCAAACGGGUGAGUAACACGUGGGUGACCUGCCUUCGAGCGGGGGAUAACGUCCCGAAAGGGACGCUAAUACCGCAUAACAUCCUGCUUUUUAAGAGGUGGAGAUCAAAGCUGGGGAUCGCAAGACCUAGCACUCGAAGAGGGGCCCGCGUCCGAUUAGCUAGUUGGUGGGGUAACGGCUCACCAAGGCAACGAUCGGUAGCCGGCCUGAGAGGGCGGACGGCCACACUGGGACUGAGACACGGCCCAGACUCCUACGGGAGGCAGCAGUGGGGAAUUGUUCGCAAUGGGCGCAAGCCUGACGACGCAACGCCGCGUGGAGGAUGAAGAUCUUCGGGUCGUAAACUCCUUUCGAUCGAGACGAAUUCCUUUGCGGUGAACAAUCGCGAAGGUUGACGGUACCGAGAGAAGAAGCCCCGGCUAACUCCGUGCCAGCAGCCGCGGUAAUACGGGGGGGGCAAGCGUUGUUCGGAAUUACUGGGCGUAAAGGGCUCGUAGGCGGCCAACUAAGUCAGACGUGAAAUCCCUCGGCUUAACCGGGGAACUGCGUCUGAUACUGGAUGGCUUGAGUUUGGGAGAGGGAUGCGGAAUUCCAGGUGUAGCGGUGAAAUGCGUAGAUAUCUGGAGGAACACCGGUGGCGAAGGCGGCAUCCUGGACCAACACUGACGCUGAGGAGCGAAAGCCAGGGGAGCAAACGGGAUUAGAUACCCCCGUAGUCC
Molecule: ribosomal RNA, 809 nt
Filed under: uncultured bacterium
Lineage: Bacteria
Description: bacterial SSU rRNA
Rfam family: Bacterial small subunit ribosomal RNA
Source: RNAcentral